RNAcentral lists this ribosomal RNA (301 nucleotides) under uncultured bacterium. RNAcentral's name for it is "partial 16S ribosomal RNA". It matches the Rfam family "Bacterial small subunit ribosomal RNA", at positions 509 to 809 of the family's 1533-position model. The record is from RNAcentral.
CAGCCGCCACGGGAAUACGUAGGGGGCAAGCGUUAUCCGGAAUUACUGGGUGUAAGGGGAGCGUAGACGGUUAAACAAGUCUGAAGUGAAAUGCCGGGGCUCAACCCCGGAGCUGCUUUGGGAACUGUAGAACUGGAGUGUCGGAGGGGUAAGCGGAAUUCCCAGUGUAGCGGUGAAAUGCGUAGAUAUUGGGAGGAACACCGGCGGCGAAGGCGGCUUACUGGACGACAACUGACGUUGAGGCUCGAAGGCGUGGGUAGCAAACAGGAUUAGAUACCCCAGUAGUCCCUGUCUCUUAUAA